RNAcentral lists this ribosomal RNA (433 nucleotides) under uncultured bacterium. RNAcentral's name for it is "partial 16S ribosomal RNA". It matches the Rfam family "Bacterial small subunit ribosomal RNA", at positions 29 to 507 of the family's 1533-position model. The record is from RNAcentral.
AACGAACGCUGGCGGCAUGCCUAACACAUGCAAGUCGAGCGGGACCUCCGUGACUAGUGGCGCAUGGGUGCGUAACGCGGGGGAACCUGCCCUUAGGUUCGGAAUAACUCUCCGUAAGGGGUGCUAAUACCGGAUAAUGUCCUCGGAUCAAAGAUAUAUCGCCCUUGUUUGGGCACGCGAUGGUUUAGCCGGGUGGUAGGGUAAGAGCCGACCAAGGAGACGAUCCAUAGCUGGUCUGAGAGGAAGGUCCGCCACACUUGGACUAGGACACGGCCGGGACUCCUGCGCGAGGCAGCAGUGGGUAAUAUUGGCCUAUGGGCGAGGGCCAGAUCCAGCAAUGCCGCGAAAGUCAUGAUGGCCUUAGAGUUGUGAAGCUCUUUUACCCGGGGUGAUAAUGACGGUACCGGAAGAAUAAGCUCCGGCUAACUCCGUG